UCCUUAUCGAGAGAGACUGAGGGGCUGGCCCGAUGACGUUUCAGCAACCAGCGUGUUUCAUUUGCAUGCAAAGGUGCUAAAUCCUGCAGAUUAAAUUCUGAAAGAUGAGGG
RNAcentral lists this non-coding RNA (111 nucleotides) under Clostridium sp. RNAcentral's name for it is "SAM-I sequence". It matches the Rfam family "SAM riboswitch aptamer (S box leader)". From Rfam's summary of the family: The SAM riboswitch is found upstream of a number of genes which code for proteins involved in methionine or cysteine biosynthesis in Gram-positive bacteria. The SAM riboswitch acts at the level of transcription termination control. Lineage: Bacteria; Bacillati; Bacillota; Clostridia; Eubacteriales; Clostridiaceae. The record is from RNAcentral.